RNAcentral lists this ribosomal RNA (1754 nucleotides) under Escherichia coli. Its description in RNAcentral is "partial 23S ribosomal RNA". It matches the Rfam family "Bacterial large subunit ribosomal RNA", at positions 93 to 1875 of the family's 2925-position model. The record is from RNAcentral. Lineage: Bacteria; Pseudomonadati; Pseudomonadota; Gammaproteobacteria; Enterobacterales; Enterobacteriaceae.
AACCGUUAUAACCGGCGAUUUCCGAAUGGGGAAACCCAGUGUGUUUCGACACACUAUCAUUAACUGAAUCCAUAGGUUAAUGAGGCGAACCGGGGGAACUGAAACAUCUAAGUACCCCGAGGAAAAGAAAUCAACCGAGAUUCCCCCAGUAGCGGCGAGCGAACGGGGAGGAGCCCAGAGCCUGAAUCAGUGUGUGUGUUAGUGGAAGCGUCUGGAAAGGCGUGCGAUACAGGGUGACAGCCCCGUACACAAAAAUGCACAUAUUGUGAGCUCGAUGAGUAGGGCGGGACACGUGGUAUCCUGUCUGAAUAUGGGGGGACCAUCCUCCAAGGCUAAAUACUCCUGACUGACCGAUAGUGAACCAGUACCGUGAGGGAAAGGCGAAAAGAACCCCGGCGAGGGGAGUGAAAAAGAACCUGAAACCGUGUACGUACAAGCAGUGGGAGCCUCUUAAUGGGGUGACUGCGUACCUUUUGUAUAAUGGGUCAGCGACUUAUAUUCUGUAGCAAGGUUAACCGAAUAGGGGAGCCGAAGGGAAACCGAGUCUUAACUGGGCGUUAAGUUGCAGGGUAUAGACCCGAAACCCGGUGAUCUAGCCAUGGGCAGGUUGAAGGUUGGGUAACACUAACUGGAGGACCGAACCGACUAAUGUUGAAAAAUUAGCGGAUGACUUGUGGCUGGGGGUGAAAGGCCAAUCAAACCGGGAGAUAGCUGGUUCUCCCCGAAAGCUAUUUAGGUAGCGCCUCGUGAAUUCAUCUCCGGGGGUAGAGCACUGUUUCGGCAAGGGGGUCAUCCCGACUUACCAACCCGAUGCAAACUGCGAAUACCGGAGAAUGUUAUCACGGGAGACACACGGCGGGUGCUAACGUCCGUCGUGAAGAGGGAAACAACCCAGACCGCCAGCUAAGGUCCCAAAGUCAUGGUUAAGUGGGAAACGAUGUGGGAAGGCCCAGACAGCCAGGAUGUUGGCUUAGAAGCAGCCAUCAUUUAAAGAAAGCGUAAUAGCUCACUGGUCGAGUCGGCCUGCGCGGAAGAUGUAACGGGGCUAAACCAUGCACCGAAGCUGCGGCAGCGACACUAUGUGUUGUUGGGUAGGGGAGCGUUCUGUAAGCCUGUGAAGGUGGCCUGUGAGGGUUGCUGGAGGUAUCAGAAGUGCGAAUGCUGACAUAAGUAACGAUAAAGCGGGUGAAAAGCCCGCUCGCCGGAAGACCAAGGGUUCCUGUCCAACGUUAAUCGGGGCAGGGUGAGUCGACCCCUAAGGCGAGGCCGAAAGGCGUAGUCGAUGGGAAACAGGUUAAUAUUCCUGUACUUGGUGUUACUGCGAAGGGGGGACGGAGAAGGCUAUGUUGGCCGGGCGACGGUUGUCCCGGUUUAAGCGUGUAGGCUGGUUUUCCAGGCAAAUCCGGAAAACCAAGGCUGAGGCGUGAUGACGAGGCACUACGGUGCUGAAGCGACAAAUGCCCUGCUUCCAGGAAAAGCCUCUAAGCAUCAGGUAACAUCAAAUCGUACCCCAAACCGACACAGGUGGUCAGGUAGAGAAUACCAAGGCGCUUGAGAGAACUCGGGUGAAGGAACUAGGCAAAAUGGUGCCGUAACUUCGGGAGAAGGCACGCUGAUAUGUAGGUGAAGCGACUUGCUCGUGGAGCUGAAAUCAGUCGAAGAUACCAGCUGGCUGCAACUGUUUAUUAAAAACACAGCACUGUGCAAACACGAAAGUGGACGUAUACGGUGUGACGCCUGCCCGGUGCCGGAAG